Coffea eugenioides is the source of this 501-nucleotide long non-coding RNA. RefSeq lists it as uncharacterized. The transcript is spliced from 4 exons. The record is from RefSeq and is a predicted model, not a curated record. NCBI's taxonomy places the organism in Eukaryota, Viridiplantae, Streptophyta, Magnoliopsida, Gentianales, Rubiaceae.
ACAAAACCAAAUCAGAAAUCGAAAUCAGGGAUUUUUACCGUAUCGGAGAUGGAGUCGGCAGCGGCUGCUAUGGGUCGGUAGUUUAUAGGCUGAAGCCUGAUGGGUACAAGUUAAUGAAUCCCUCGUACCUUGAGCGGUUGUCUAAGACCAUGUUCUUUCCUCUGGAGAUUCAUAUAUUCCGGGGAGGUGAAAGCGAAUUCAUCUGCUUUUCUCCGCUUGAGCUCGAUUUUUGUGACGGAAUUGUGGUCGAACUUGACGAUGCUACUGGCAAAUUGGCCGAGAAAUUUGUUCAAAGGCGGAGAGUUUAUUCUCAUGCGUGGAUAAAGUACUGGAUUCCUCAUUUCGGGAUUAAAGAGAGGAUUGAUUAUAUCCUUUCAGCUCUGAGUACUGAGUCUGCUGCUGGGCGAGUUUGAGGCUAAAUUUCUGUCUUCUGUGGAGAGUUAACAGUCUCGUGAUUGGGAAAAAUAGCUGCCUGAGGUAGUUGGAUCGCGGAAGGAUUGC